CUUUUCCUCGGGCGUUCCUUCAUGAUGCUCAUGUGAGCCAUGAUUCUCCUCAUCUCCAGUUUUCUCAGAUGCAUGGCUAGAGCUCUUCUCAGUUACAUGGCUAGAGCUAUUCUUCUCAGAUACAUGGCUAGAGCUAUUCUUCUCAGAUACAUGGCUAGAGCUAUUCUUCUCAGAUACAUGGCCAGAGCUAUUCUUCUCAGAUACAUGGCCAGAGCUAUUCUUCUCAGAUACAUGGCUAGAGCUAUUCUUCUCAGAUGCAUGGCUAGAGCUAUUCUUCUCAGAAUUAGACCCCUUCCAAGCUUGUUUGUUGUGUACAUACUUCCCCUAAAGCAUAAAAACACUAUC
This 345-nucleotide long non-coding RNA is filed under the name Trifolium pratense (red clover). Its description in RNAcentral is "long non-coding RNA (TPRA_LNC004061)". The record is from RNAcentral. Lineage: Eukaryota; Viridiplantae; Streptophyta; Magnoliopsida; Fabales; Fabaceae.